GGUCCAACCAAUUCACAAUCGCUAUAAGAUUACGUUUCAUCGAUGUAAUUUUACAUCAAUGAAAACAGUUGGGCGGUAGCUACAUGCUAGCCCACUCCCCUGUGCCUUUUCCAAUCAAAGGCGAGCACAGUUACAAAAUAAAAUUAUAUGCGAGCAGUUCUCACUCGACGGCAACGUUCCUCUCUCUCUCCCCCGGCCCCCCCUCCUAUCUCGCGAUUGCGGAGUCGGCAGCAGCGACGACACCGGAGGAACGACCCGGAGGUAACGGCUACCUCUCUCGCCCGUGGAGUGCUUCCCUUUCCCGCUCUCAUGCGGCAGCGACCCGGAGGCGAUGUCGUCGGUGCAACGAUCUGGCGCGAGCUCGGCGAUGUCAACGGCCUUCUCCGGCGUCCUCUCCACCUUCGGCGGUCUUCUCACCGGGGAGGAGGAUGAAGAUCAAGAAAGGAAAGGAAAGAAAAUCAGGAGCUUGCCUACUACCUACCAGGAAGCGGGUGAUGAAGGUGAUGGUGGAGACACGCUCCCAUCGGUGGAUUAAAUUCAAGGAGGUGGAGAUCAUGGAGGAUGAGAAGAAGGCUAUGUGGAUUCAGUCUUCGAUUGAGCUGAGAUUAAUUUUUGUUUGUUGUAGGACAUGUGAAUCCCCUCUGUGAUUUAGCUUUUGUGUAAAAUUCACGAAUUUGCAUCCUUUUAGCUAUAAAUGUUGCUCCUGAUUUAACUGAAUGUUAGUAAUAAUGUACAUAAAGAAUUAGCCUGUAUCUAGCUGACAAUGCCAAUUAUCUUGAAAUUCGUUAAUCAAUUUUUGCAUAAACUUAUGAGGUAAUUUCUUGAAUUAAAGAUGGUUCACUUUACGAGGAAUUUUGUUUUAUAGUAUUCUUGAGAUAAAUUUCGAAGUGAUGAUGCUAACUUUAUGUUGAAUGUAUUAGGUAAAUGAAGAAUCAGAAUUCUGCCAUCAAAUUUAGGAGUCGAACAAGAUGUUUGCAAGGGACUUGGAGAUGAGGGAACACUACAGAAAAGAAAAUGGCAAUGUUUGUACCCACGGUAAGACACAUAGGCAUAUAUACUCACCAUAAGCUGGAUGAAAGAAUACAUUUUACCAUUUAAACAUGCCAGUCGUCCUCACCAAUGGUGUUCCGUGACUCCGAGUUCGCCUUGAUGUACCCAGGUACCGCUCAGCCCAUGAAGAAUCUACUUAUUGCUAAUAUGAUUAAGGCUUGUGAUUAAUCCGUUUUCCUGAAUUUGUUCAGAGGGCAAAUUAUCAAAGUUGCUAGAUGCCAAAUUCGGUCUGUUUUCAUUGCACGUAAAAAUUGUUUCUUCCAUUAGCAAAUAUUUCAAUUUUAUGUCUCUGUUUUCUUCUUCAAUCUGCAAGGAACUCAAAGAUAGUUAUACAUUUACUAACGUGCAUUCUAGUCCAUAAAUUGUUUGGGCAAUGCACACAAAAAGAUGUACAUGUUUGGGGGUACAAACUUUAGUUUCUUUUGAGGCUUAUGAAUUAUGUUGAAUUUUGUAGUUAACAAAUAGCUUGCUUUCUCUACGCAAAAGAAAAGGAAGUUGCUAGUUGUACUAGCAACAUGUAUCGAGAUCUUCCCGCAAUGCUAGGAUUUUGAGUUUUCCCAUUUAAAUUUAGGGUGCAAUUCUUGCUUCUGGUCAUCAUUAGAAUUACUUAGUGUUAAUUUCUUUUUCACCAGCAAAUCCCUAUGGUAAUUUUCCGUUAAUCAUAAACUAGAUGGUACAAACAAACAAGGAGCAAAGACUCAAUAAGGUUACACCAGGAGCCACGAAAACUUAAUUAAAAACUAGAGCACUAAAGCUGGUCCAGUGAGGAGCUCGGUGCCUAUAGAAACCAAAAGAGAAGGGCAAGACAGAGACCAAUUACUUAGUGUUAAUAGUCUUAUCUUGUGUGUACAUCAUGCUAUUCUCUGUUCAGCUUAAUGCAUGUCCAAUAUAAUUAUUCAGUAGGCUAUAUGAGUAAUUUAAUUUUCUUGUUUUGUGCACUUUGGAGCAACUCGUGGUUACUAGCAGUUUCGAGUUAAGAAUUAUUUCAAUUGCAAUGAGGUACAUAGUGACCCUCUUUCUGGCUGUAUAUCUUCGUUGUUUUGGUUGAACUGGCAUAAACCUAAUUCGUAACGUUGAUGUGUUUCCUUUUGCUUUUCCUUUCGCUAGGAAGCCAUGACAUUUACUUGGUGCCAAUCAUUAAUUAAUCAAUUUCAAUGUCCCCAUAAUAGAGGAUUGGUAUUGAUUUGCAUUGGCUUAACUACCGAGGACAAGUGUUUCCCUUUCACCCUAAUAGUGGUUGAUUUGCUCCUUUGAAGGAGGCCUACAUUAUGCUAAAUGUCUAUAUGAGCAAGAGAAGUAGUCGCAAUCAGUUAGCAUUUUUUAUUCUUAUGCCAUAUCUUCAGAAAUUCUUAACAUGGAAUACAUCAUAUAUUUAUCUGUAUGUAGCUAAUGCUUCUUUGCUUAAAUCUUAUGUUUGUUAAAUGUUAGCAGGCAGAAUCAUUAACUACAUACAGAUAAAUGUACGAUGUAUUCCAUGUUAGGAUUUUCUUAAGCUUGAUUGCCACUACUUCUUAAGCUCAUAUGUGAUAAUGUGAUCAUGCAAUUGUCUUGAGUUUAACUGAAUCUUGUUAUCAAUUGUCAUGUCCGACACAUUUGUCUUGUACAGGAGUGCAUUUCUGUAUGUGAUCAGAUUUUCUUAGGCUUUAUUGUUGACGGUCAUGUCUGUUUGUAGUUGUCAUGGCACCAAAUAUUUUUAGAAUAUUCUGCAUUGAUGAUUUUUAUCAUUAAUCCAAUGCUACAUAAAUUGUUUAUUGUUUUCAGGAAUGUUUCCGCUGGUUUCGGCGCUCAUCACUGUUGAGUCUCUUUUCGUGACCCAGAGUCUAUUGCCAGGCCAGGGCCAUCUUCUCUGCAAGUUAUUUCAAGUACUUACUGUAAUUGAAAUGACGGUUAUAUGUGGUUUCGUGGCUGCCACUUGUGAAUGCAUUUGCCCGGAUGUACUCUGUUCUUGAGUCCAUGGCAUCGAGUUCUUAUGCCUGCCGAUUGGAAA
Molecule: long non-coding RNA, 3037 nt
Organism: Triticum aestivum (bread wheat)
Lineage: Eukaryota; Viridiplantae; Streptophyta; Magnoliopsida; Poales; Poaceae
Exons: 2
Source: RefSeq, a predicted model, not a curated record